AACAAGGCGUACCUGCGGACCUGCGGAAGGAUCAUUACAAGUGACCCCGGUCUAACCACCGGGAUGUUCAUAACCCUUUGUUGUCCGACCCUGUUGCCUCCGGGGCGACCCUGCCUUCGGGCGGGGGCUCCGGGUGGACACUUCAAACUCUUGCGUAACUUUGCAGUCUGAGUAAACUUAAUUAAUAAAUUAAAACUUUCAACAACGGAUCU
RNAcentral lists this unclassified non-coding RNA (212 nucleotides) under soil metagenome. RNAcentral's name for it is "partial contains 5.8S ribosomal RNA, internal transcribed spacer 2, and large subunit ribosomal RNA". The record is from RNAcentral.